GACAGAGGGUGCAAACGUUGUUCGGAAUUACUGGGCGUAAAGCGCGUGUAGGCGGCCCUGCAAGUCGGAUGUGAAAUCCCACGGCUCAACCAUGGAAGUGCAUUCGAAACUGCAGAGCUAGAGUCCUGGAGAGGAAGGUGGAAUGCUUGGUGUGGAGGUGAAAUUCGUAGAUAUCAAGCGGAACACCGGUGGCGAAGGCGGCCUUCUGGACAGUGACUGACGCUGAGACGCGAAAGCGUGGGGAGCAAACAGG
RNAcentral lists this ribosomal RNA (253 nucleotides) under uncultured bacterium. Its description in RNAcentral is "partial 16S ribosomal RNA". It matches the Rfam family "Bacterial small subunit ribosomal RNA", at positions 524 to 776 of the family's 1533-position model. The record is from RNAcentral.